RNAcentral lists this ribosomal RNA (446 nucleotides) under uncultured bacterium. Its description in RNAcentral is "bacterial SSU rRNA". It matches the Rfam family "Bacterial small subunit ribosomal RNA", at positions 329 to 792 of the family's 1533-position model. The record is from RNAcentral.
UGCCAGACUCCUACGGGAGGCAGCAGUGGGGAAUAUUGCACAAUGGGGGAAACCCUGAUGCAGCGACGCCGCGUGAGCGAUGAAGUAUUUCGGUGUGUAAAGCUCUAUCAGCAGGGAAGAAAAUGACGGUACCUGACUAAGAAGCCCCGGCUAACUACGUGCCAGCAGCCGCGGUAAUACGUAGGGGGCAAGCGUUAUCCGGAUUUACUGGGUGUAAAGGGAGCGUAGACGGCUGUGCAAGCCAGAUGUGAAAGCCCGGGGCUCAACCCCGGGACUGCAUUUGGAACUGUGUGGCUGGAGUGUCGGAGAGGCAGGCGGAAUUCCUAGUGUAGCGGUGAAAUGCGUAGAUAUUAGGAGGAACACCAGUGGCGAAGGCGGCCUGCUGGACGAUGACUGACGUUGAGGCUCGAAAGCGUGGGGAGCAAACAGGAUUAGAUACCCCAGUA